UCCACUUUCAUUAAUUUAUACACAACUGUGCAGUUUUCCUGGCACCACAUGCUAUAGAUACUGUCUUUUUCCCAUUUUAUAUUCUUGCCGCCUUUGCAAAGAUGAAUUGACCAUAGGUGUCUGGGUUUAUUUCUGGGUUCUCUAUUCUGUUCCAUUGGUCUGUAUGUCUCUUUUAGUACCAGGAGCACACUGUCUUGAUUACUGUAGCUUUGUAAUAUUGUCUGAAGUAUCGGAGAGUUAUAUCUUCUGCUUGGUUUUUGUUCCUCAGGAUUGCUUUGGCAAUUCUGGGUCUUUUGUGGUUCCAUAUAAAUUUUUGGAUUAUUUGUUCUAGUUCUGUGAAAAAUGUCAUGGGUGAGAGUGGUGAGAAUGGGCAUCCUUGUGUUGCUCCAGAUUUUAGUGGGAAGCCUUUCAGCUUUUCUCCAUUGAUUAUUAUAAUUUCUGUGGAUUUGUCCUAAAUAUCUUUUAUUAUGUUAAGGUAUGUUCCUGCUAGACCCAUUUUGGUAAGAAUUUUUAUCCUGAAUGGAUAUUGUAUUUUGUCACAUGCUUUUUCUGCAUCUAUUGAGAUGAUCAUGUGAUUUUGGACUUUUCUUUUGUCAAUGUGGUGUAUGAUGUUUGAUUUGCAUAUGUUGAACUAUCCUUGUGAACUUGGGAUGAAUCCCAGUUGGUCAUGGUGUUUGAUCUUUUUUAUGUAUUGUUGGAUUUGGUUGCUAAAACUUUGUUGAGAAUUUUUGUACCUAUAUUCAUCAAAGAUAUUGACCUAUUGUUUUCUUUUUUAGUAUUACCUUUGGUUUUGAUAUUAGGGUGAUGGUGGCUUCAUAGUAUGUCUUUGGGAUUCUUCCUUCUUCUUCAUCCUUUUGGAAAAGUUUAAUCAGGAUGGCUAUAAGUUCUUCUUUUAUGUUUGGUAAUAUUCGCCUGUGAAGUCAUCUGGUCCUGGACUUUGGUGUGUAGGGAGUAUUUUUAUUACAUAUUUAAUUUCAUUUCUAGUGAUUAGUCUGUUCAGUUGAUCUAUUUCUUCUUGAUUCCGUUUUGGCAGACUGUAAGUCUCUAGAAAGUUGUCCAUUUCUUCUGGGUUGUCAGAUUUGUUGGCAUAUAAUGGUUCAUAGUAUUUUCUUACAGUUUUUGUAUUUCUGCAAAUACAAAAAUAUAUGUUUUUUUAUUCUCAACAUUGUAUCUUUUGAGAUUUCUCCUUUUUCACUUCUUAUUUUGUUUGAGUUCUUUCUCUCCUCUUCUUGAUGGAUCUGGCCAGAGGUUUGUCAAUUUUGUUUACCCUUUCAAUGAACCAGCUCUUGGUUUUAUUGAUUUUUUUCUAUUGUUUUUUUUGAAUCUCUAUUUUAUUGAUUUCCUCGCUGAUCUUUAUGACUUCCUUCCUUGUGCUGACUUUAGGUUUUGUUUGUUCUUCUUUUUCUAAUUCAUUUAAGUGGUAGGUUAAGUUGUUGAUUUCAGAUUUUUCUUCUUUUUUGAGGAAGGCCUGCAUUGCUAUGAACUUCUCUCUAAGCACUGCUUUUGCAGCAUCACAUACAUUUUGAAAGGUUGUGUUUUCAUUGUCAUUUGUUUCAAGGUAUUUUUUAUUUUACCUUUUGAUUUCUUCAUUGACCAAUUGGUUUUUUAGUAGCAUGUUGUUUAGUCUCCAUGUAGUCUCCAUGUAGUAGACUGACUUAUUCCAUGUAGUCAGUUUCCAGUCUCUUUUGUCUGAUAUGAGUAUUGUAACUCCUGUUUUCCCAUCAUUUCCAUUCUCAUGAGUAUCUUUUUCCAUCCCUUCACUUUCAAUUUAUAUGUUUACUCUAAAUUGAGUCUCUUGUGGGCAGCAUGUGGUAGGGUCUUGUUUUUUUUAAUCCAGUUUGCCACUUUAUGUCUUUGGCCACUUUAUGUCUUUGGCCACUUUAUGUCUUGGCGCUUUCAGUCCAUUGACAUUUCAGGUAAUUAUUGAUAAUUGUGUAUUUAUUUCCAUUUUAAACAUUGUUGAUUCCAUGUUUCUCCUUUGUCCCUUUAUUUUGUUGCUUGGAUGAUUUCCACCUAUUUCAUGCUUGUGUAUUCUUCUUUUUCAUUUUUGUGAUUGCAUCAUUUAGUUUUGAUUUGUGGUUGCCUGUUUUUCAAGUGCUAACCCCUUCCUAUAUCUGUUACUUUUAGCCUGAUAGUCAUGUAGGGUCAAACACAUUCUUAAAUUAAAAAAAAAAAAAAUAGCCUGGAUUUUCUUACUUUUCUUCCCACAUUUUAUAAUUUUGAUGAACUUUUUGCAUCUUCACCUUUAUUCUUUUUCUGUUCCUUGAGUUUAUCAUCACUUUUACAAAUAGUUAUUUUUUCCUUUUUAGACUGUAUACUGGCUUAAGUUAUUACUUUCCAGUCAUGAUUUCCUCCAUCCUAUAUCUUCUUACUUCUUUCCUAUUUAGAGGAGACCUUUCAGUAUUUCUCUUAGAAUGGGUUUAGUAUUGCUGUACUCUUUUAAUUUUUGUUUGUUGAAGAAAUUCUUUAUUUCUCCUUUAUUAAAGAAUUCUUGCUGGGUAGAAGUAUUCUUGGCUGCAUAUUUUUAUGUUUAAGAACUUUGAUUAUAUCUUGCUACUCUCUUCAGGCCUGUAGUGUUUCUGUAGAGAAAUCAGCUGACAACCUUAUGGGGGUUCCCUUGUAAUUAACUUCUUUGCCUUUUUCUUGAUGUCUUUAGAAUCUUCUCUGUGUCUUUGCCUUUUGCCUUUUUAUUGUAAUUUGUCCUGGUGUGGGUCUGUUUGGGUUCAACUUGUUUGGGACCUUCUGUGCUUCCUAUAUGUUGAUAUCUGUUUCCUUUAGAUUUGGAAAGAUUUCAGCCAUAAUUUAUUUAAAUAUAUUUUCAAUCUCCUUUUCUUUUUCUUCUUCUGGAAUCCUAUUAUGCGUAGAUUGGCCUGUUUUACAUUAUCUCAAUGAUCUAUUAUAUUGUUUUCAUUUUUUUUAUUUGGUCUUCUGCCUGCUGUCCCAAUUAGGGUGAUUUCUAUCAUUCUGUCUUCCAAUUUACAUAUUCAUUCCUCUGCAUUUUUCAUUCUGCUCUUCAGUGUCUUCAACUCAGCUCGAGUGUCCUCAAAUGAAUUUUCUAAUUUUUCUUGGCUCCUCCUUUUAUUUUCUAGCUCCUUUCUAAAAUACUCUGCAUUACUGUUCAUAUCCACUUUUAGUUCCUUCAUAUUCACUCUUAAUUCUUUCAGUAUUUUCACUAUCUCCUUUUUGAACUCAGUAUCUGUUAGAUUGCAGAGGUCUGUUUUAUUGUUUUCUUCUUCAGGUGAAUUCUCCUGUUCUUUUAACUGGGAAUGGUUCCUGAGCUUCUUCAUUUUGCUUAUAUUUUUCUUAUUCUUUGAGUUUAGGGAAAACAACUAUUGUAGCCUUGGAGGACUAUUUAUAUGCGAAAGUGUCCCUAGGUAUUUUGUGAGGGCUUACUAAUUUUUUUUUUUUUUUGCCUGAGGGCUACUUUUAGUUUGGAUGCUGCUGUAUCUUUCCUCAUGUAUGCAGGCUGUUACCCCCUUAAUGGGGGUCCUGGUGUAUGGUCUGUGUGUGCUUCUGGGGAGAUGGAGGCAAUGGGAAUGUCUAGUAGUCAGGGCCUUGUUGCUGGGCUCUUGCCAGUGGCAAGGAUCCAUUGGGAGCUGGUGCUGUCUACUCCUGAGUGCAGGGCCCUGGGAUGUUGCAGUGAUCCUUAGGCAGGUGUAGGCAUUGCCCAGAGCAUUUGACAGUGGCUUCAUCAGGGUUUGUGUGCUCCCAGGGGAGUGAGAGCAACAACACAGCAGGUGGUGCUCAGUUACAGUUCUUUCCUCUGUGGCUUCUCUUAAGGUAACUGGGGCAGGUGGUUCCUAUUCACAGACCCCCUAAUGAUGGCAGGCCAUGCCCACCUCUGAAGUCUGAGAUGGCUAUGGUGAUUUUCUCCUGCUGCCUGUAGAUCAUGCAAGAGGCCCCCUGCCACCCAUAGCCCUCCUAAGAGGUGCCCCACCACGUGUAACCCUUGCCAAAAGACACCCUGCUGCCUGAGCACCUGCACAUGCUCAGAGAAAGAUAUUCCUAUGGCAGUUCCUCCCCUCCUCUUAUCACCAUCCCCAGCAGUGGCUCCUUGCUUCUCCUGUGAGCCCAGACCUCUUCCUAGGUUCCCUCGCCUCUGGUUCUCUGCUCCUCAAGCUGUGGCGCAUUGCUUCCUAGCCCCUCCAGCUGUCUCCAAACAUCCCACCCUACUCUCCUCCCUGGACCUGACCUUCAGAGCCUGUGUCUCAUUGCCCAGACCUUGCCUGAGCAUCUCAGGCUGUGGUAUCUGGAGGUGGGGGUAGUACCAGUGGUUUGUGUGGCUCUCUCUCUACUUUGCCCUUCUCAGUCCGGCUGCUAUGCUUUUCUCAGAGGCUUUGAGGUCCAUUUGUCUCGACUGAUCUCCCCAUCAGUUGGGUAGCUUCCCAGGGUGCAGGUUUCAUUCCUCUUUCACAUCUCCCUCUUAGGAAUUCUGGUCCUAUGCUGAUUCCUUUUUUUCUCUCUUCUCUCUCUCUUUUCCUUUUGUUCUACCCAGUUUUGUGGAGUUUAAGGUCUUCUGCCAGCAUUCAGUAGAUGUUCUGUGUGAAUCAUUCUACAUGUAGAUUUUUUUUUCCUGUGUUCGUGGGAGAAGGUGGGCACCAUGUCUUACUCCUCUGCCAUCUUGAUCCUGCCCUCUCAAACAUUUUUUUAUGAUUUUAAUAUUGUUAUGGUGAUCUCUGAUCAGUGAUCUUUGAUGUUACUGUUGCAAAAGGAUUACAAUUAGUUGAAUGCUCAUAUUUAACUAGCAUAUUUAGAAAUAAAGUAUUUUAAAAUUAAGUUAGGUAUUUUUAUAUACAUAGUGCUAUUGAAUACUUAAUAGACCACAGUAUAGGGUAUAUAUAAAUUUUAUAUACACUAGGAAACCAAAAAAAUUGUAUGACUCAUUUCAUUGCAAUAUUCAUUUUACUGUUGUGGUCUGGAACCAAACUUGCAAUAUCUCCAGUGCAUGCCUGCAUAAAGUAAACUGCAAAACUUUAGAACUUAAAACAAUGUGAUAUUGGUAAAAAAAAAAAAAUAGGGUAUUUGGUACAGAAGAAAACCCCAAGAAAAUAGGGCCAUAUAUGAACAACAGUUACAUUUGCAAUAAAGGUAGCAUCUAUGUCAGUGAAGAAUGAUGCACUGCUUAAACAAAUGGUUUUUGGGACAAUUAAAAAUAAAGUAGGAGAAAUCUAAUUAGAUGUAGAUUUUAUCUCACAUAAACUCAAUCACACACACUCCAGAUUGUUUUAAGAACUAAACAUGCAAAUAAAAUUAUAAAGAUUAUAUAAAGAAAUAGAGGUGAGCAUUUUAAUAACCUUGAUGUUUUGUAAACUCGACCUGAAAAAAAUUUGUAUGUGUAUAUGUGUGUGUACAUCAAAUGAAAUCUAUAUUCUACAUCUAACAGUUAUAAUGAAAGACUGAUAGAUUUAACUAUGGUGAAAUUUAAAUUUUUUAAAGGACAAAAAAUAAAAUCACCAUCAACAACUGAAUGACUGAGGACUGACAAAUGUGACUUAUUUGCAUCAUCUAUAAGAGGUAAAGGUUAAGUUUUUGUUUUUUGAUUUUGUCUUUUUAUGGCUGUACCUGCAGCAUAUGGAAGUGCCCAGUUCAGGGGUUGAAUCAGAGCUACAGCUGAAGUCUGUGCAGCAGCUUGCAACAUCACCGGAUCCUUACCCCACUGAGCAAGGCCAGGGAUCAAACCUGCAUCCUCACUGAGACCAUAAUGGAUUAUUAACCUGCUGGGCAACAGUGGGAACUCCAAAGGUUAAGCUUUUUAAAAAUAAUAUACAAAUCAACUUUUAUAAUGAUAAGCCUUUGGGAAAAAGAUCAAAGGCCAUGAAGAAGUAAUUCACAGGAAUGAGAAAAGAUAUAAAAAUAUAUUCAACUUUGCUAGUUAUUAGAGAAACAUAAAUCAAAAUGAAAUGUUUCUUUUUCCACACACUAAUAAAAUAUUUUAAAAUUUAAAAUCUGGGUGUUCCCACUGUGGUGCAGCAGAGAUCAAUUGGACUAGUAUCCAGGAGGAUGUGGGUUCAAUCCCUGGCCUCACUCAGUAAGUCAGGGAUCCAGCAUUGCUGUGAACUGUGGUGUAGGUCACAGCUGCAGCUCAGAUCCUGCAUUGCUGUGAUGUGGUUUAGGCUACAGGUGUAGCUCCAGUUUGACCCCUAGCCUGGGAACCUCCAUAUCCCGAGGGUACAGCCCUCGAAAGAAAAAAAAAUAAAAAUAAAAAA
This 6206-nucleotide long non-coding RNA is filed under the name Sus scrofa (pig). RNAcentral's name for it is "lncRNA (ENSSSCG00050054780.1)". Lineage: Eukaryota; Metazoa; Chordata; Mammalia; Artiodactyla; Suidae. The record is from RNAcentral.